GUGGAAGAAAAGCAUGCAUGUGGGAUUGGUUUUCUAAACCACCAUUUGUCCAAAGAUCUAUCUAAGCAGUUCUGAGGUCAGCUUUCUUUUGUGACUUUCCUAACACAGCUAGCUUAUGCAUGCAGAUGGCAUAAAUAAGUUAAUGUCUCAGGUAGGCAGCCUCUAUAGAAGUUAGGGACAGAAAACAUUACCAAGGUCAAGCUUUGGAAAGGAAAAUUAACCCUUGGCUACUGACAAAAAGGCUUGAUUGUUUUAUUAGAGGAAGCUGAGUAUAAGAGGACUGGGAAGAGAAGUGGCCAUUGAACUUGACCUGAGAAGAAACAGACUACCAAAUCCAGAGAAAGUGCCAAGACUUGAUGUACAGAAACAGGAGUGCACAGCAUAUUUCACCAUGAGGCUUUGAUUAUGACAUUCUACAGUUCUUUGUCAAACGUCCCAGGGUCUUUUCUGGAAGGGUAAGUAAAUAGUAUCAGGACCAGGUGAUUCUGGAAUGUCAGUAAAAUGGUUGUUACCCCCAAGGAUGAUUGUCCUCAUUUUUAGAAAAACAGAACAAAGCCAGGCUCAGUGCUCAGUGCUACAGUGCUGGCCUAGCAUGCAGGAGGUCUGGGUUCAAUAUCUGAUACUAAGGGGGAAAAGAAGAAGAAGAAAAAAGAAAGAAAAGAAAAAGCAGAACAACUUCAAUGGAUAUGGGUCCUGGAAAGGUCACAUUUAUUCUUUAAAAAAUAUUUAUGAAAUAGCUAUUUUAGUUAUUUUAUUUUAUAGAUUGAACCCAGGGGUACCCUACAACUGAGCUAGAUCUCCAGCCCUUUUUAUUUUCUAUUUUGAGACAGGGUCUCACUAAGUUUCUCAGGCUGUCUUCAAACUUGUGAUCCUCCUGCCUGGAGCCUCCUGUCCUUGGAAUUACAGUGUACACCACUGUGCCCAGCUGGAAUAGCUGUUUAAAUAACAGAUAUAUCAGGUGCCAAGAUUGGAAAGAUGAAAACCAAAAAGACACUUUUGGACCACAAUAUAAUCACAUUUUGGGAAGGAAAAAAUAUACUGGCCACCUCUUCAUAGAUAACUGGAAAAGACUGGUUGAUGGAAGAAUUAUGAAACAAAGUAAGUGGCUUUUAAAAGAGGAAAACAUUUUGGUGACUACUAAUACCUCUAUAUAUGGAUAAUAAUAUGAAUAAAUGAAGUAUUUAAACUUGGAAAUAGAGGGGAGUAUUUUUUAUUAGGAAAAAAAUGAAUACAUUUUAUUAUAUUUGGUUUUUUGCAAAGGACCCUGGUCUAGAUUUGGUAACAAUAAAAAUGAGAUAGCGAGUAAAAAUGGGGAAGAGAAAUAAGACUUGAAUAAUCCAGUUAUGUUUAAAUACUAACAAUAAACGGGACAUUGUGUUUUUUGAAACAUUUACUUAAUUCAGGGAACAGACUCAAGAAAUCAAUUAAAAGAGACUAUUAAAAUUUAAACAUCGUCUUUAACUGUAUUUAUGAAAAUACAGAAAAAGAUUAUAUAGAUAAACAUAUGGGAUUAAAUAGAAAAACAAAACCUACUAUUUUUAAAAGACAAAUUUUAAUCCCUUGCUGCAUUGAUCAAAUUUAUAGAAAAUUUCAAGAAAGGUAUAUUUUAAAUAUCACAGAUUAGUAGUAAGUUUUUUUUUUUUGGCAUAUAUACUACCAAAGAGAGUACAUAAAUUUUUAAAUUGUUAUUAAUAAUGAGGUUUUUCUCCCUCCACGUGUUUCUUUCCCUCAAUAAUUUUGCACUUAGUACAAUUUCUUACAAAAAUUAAGUGUGAAUAAAUGCAAGUCAAUUCAUAAGUGUUGGAUGUUUUAGCAUUUUUACUUUUUUUUCCCCCAGUGCUAGGAAUUGAACCCAGUACCUCACACAUGCUAGACAAGUGCUUUACAACUGAUCUACUUUCCCUGCAUGUUGGAUGUUUAGAUUUUUUUUUUAGGAAACUCAUAAUUCUUGUUCAGACUUAUCAAGAAUUAGAGGCUUGAGAACAUUUGAAGAAGCAAAUCUAAGGAUGGCCUGUGUAUGGAUCUGCAAAGUUUGUCCUGUAUACUUUCUUCCUUUUAAAGAAAUUUUUCCCUCAAUUUUUAACUAUAAUUAUGAUCAUAUGUUAGUUGCAAAAAUUAUUGGGAUCCACUGUGAUAUUCCCUACAUGCAUACCACGUGUAGAUUGUGUCCACUCUUAAUUCUUCCUUAUCCCUUCCCCCUCUCCUCUCUUCCAACACCUAUCCCUCUUUCAUUUUCAGGUAAUUUAAUUUUUCAUAUGUGGGAGAACAUGUACAGUACUUGUCUUUCUGUAUCUAGUUGAUUUUAUUUAUCAUCAUGUCUUCUGGUUCCUUCCAUUUUCCUACAAAUGGCAGAAUCUCAUUCUUCUUUAUGGAGGAAUAAUACUCUAUUAUGUAUAUACACACAAUAUAUAUAUAUAUAUAUAUAUAUAUAUAUAUAUAUAUAUAUAUAUAUACCCCAUUUCUCAAUUCAUUUAUCCAUCAACACUACUUAUCUUGGUUCCUUAUCUUGGUUAUUGGGAAUACUGUCCCUUUCUUCUCAUUACUAAUGGAGUUUCUGAUACUCACCUGGGUAUGUGGCUCCCUGAAAUAAAGACUAUAUUUCUUUCCUUCCUUCCUUUCCUUCCUUUCUUUUUAUGAACAGGUGCAUUUUUUAUUUUAUUAUACAUUUUUACUGGUGUGUUGUAAUUGUACAUAAUGAUGGAAUUUGUUGUUACGUAUUUGUACAUGCACAGAGUAUGACAAUAUUAUUUGGUCAAUAUCACUUCCCAACAUUACCCGCCUCCCUCCUACCCCUUUGUCCCUUUCCUUUACUCAUCUUCUUUUGAUUUUCAUGAGAUUUACCCUUACCUUUCUUUUCCUGUUUCCUCUCUAGUUUCCCCACUUGAGAGAAAAUAUAUGACCCUUGACCUUCUGAGUUUGACUUAUUUUGCUUAACAUAAUGGUCUCUAGUUCCAUCCAUUUUCUUGCAAAUGACAUAUUUCAUUUUUCUUUAUGGCUGAAUAAAACUCCAUUGUGUAUACAAACCACAUUUUCUUUAUCCUAGGUCUGUAGAUAGACACCUAGGCUGGUACCAUAGUUUGGCUAUUGUGAAUUGUGCUGCUAUAAACAUUGGUAUGCAUGUAUCAUCGUAGUAUGAUGACUUUCAUUGUUCAGGGUAAAUACUGAGAAGUGGUAUAGCUGGGUCAUUUGGUGGUUCUAUGCCUAGUCUUUUGAGAAACCUCAUACUGAUUUCCAUAGUGGUUGUGCUAAUUUACAAUCCCACCAAUGGUAUAUAAGUGUUCCCUUUUUUCACAUCCUCCGGCAUUUAUUAUUGUUUGUAUUCUUGAUAAUUGCCAAUUUGACUGGUGUGAGAUGGAAUCUCAAUGUAGUUUUGAUGUUCAGUUCCCUAAUUGCUCAUGAGGUUAAAUAUUUUUUCAUAUAUUUGUUGGCCAUUUGUAUUUCUUCUUUUAAGAAGCGUUAAAGACCUCAUUUCUUAGCCUUCCAUCCAAUUAAGUGUGCCAUGUAAAUAAGAAAUGCCCAAAGAGAUGUAAGGAGAUAUUUCAUGUGAGACCUCUGGAGAUUGUCCUUAAUGGGAAGGUUUAUACUGUGCUUUGUCUCUUCCCCUUCCAGAAUGUGGACACAGUCAAGAGCCUAGCAAGCCAACCUGUGUGAGGCAGAAUGCAAAGGAAAGCAGAACCUUGAAGCUGAAGGCAGCUGGGCUCUCACAACUUAGGACUGCCAGACCAGCCCUGACCUGUGAACCUCUGCAUUGUCAUUGUUGUUGCUGAGUAGAAUUUUAUGUAAUUAAGCUCCUGCUUAUUUGGAAUUUCUGUAUAUGCAGUUAAACCUAAUCCUAACCAAUAGUGACCUAAAUAACCCUAAAAUUGUUACAUACUUUACAUACUUGUUGUGGAUUCUAUGGCUCUAGAGCAUUUUCUGAGUGCUCUGGUAUAGCAUGAGUCUCUUUUAGUAGAUUAUACUACAUUUUUCCUGGCUAAAUGGAUAAAUGUUAAAAUAAUCCAUCACCAUAUUUUAUCAUAUUCAUGUCCACUAUGUACAGUAAUUCCAAUGUCUCUUUUCCUAAUUUGACAAAAUUAUUUUAUUUUGUUUUGUAUUUUAUAAAAAUGUAUAAGUUAUUUAAUAAAUGGUAUAGAAAGAUUAAGAAUUUUUUCUUUGAUUUAUGUAUUGGGGCACUUUUGAAUUUUUUCUAAUAUAUUAAAAUAUAAUUUACAUAUACUAAAAUUCACUAACUUUAGAUGAACGGUAUGGUGAGUUUUGAUUAAAACUUGCUUAUGUUACAUAAUCAUAUUACUCUCUCCAGAAUCACAAUAUGCAAUAAAACAUUCCCACCACUCCAAAAUCUCCCUCCCCUCUCCAUCCCCCUUUCUUUAUUUCUGAUUUUUUUUUCUCUUUCAAUUGUGGAUGUCUUAAUGUCCCAGUGUCAUUUGUUAAAAGUAAUUCAUCCUUCAUUGAAUUACAUUUUCACAUUCGUUAAAACGUGUGGCUCUAUUUAGUCUAUUCCUUUUAAUUACAGAGUAAUAUUCCCUUAUAUGAAUAUACCAGAAUGUGUUUAUUUACUCACCUGUUGUUGGACAUUUGGUUAUUUCUAGUUUUUGACUAGUGUGAAUAAAGAUGCUGUAAACUUGCACGUUUUA
RNAcentral lists this long non-coding RNA (4634 nucleotides) under Marmota monax (woodchuck). The record is from RNAcentral. Lineage: Eukaryota; Metazoa; Chordata; Mammalia; Rodentia; Sciuridae.